CGGGGUGAGUAACGCGUGGGUAACCUGCCUUGUACUGGGGGACAACAGUUAGAAAUGACUGCUAAUACCGCAUAAGCGCACAGUAUCGCAUGAUACAGUGUGAAAAACUCCGGUGGUACAAGAUGGACCCGCGUCUGAUUAGCUAGUUGGUAAGGUAACGGCUUACCAAGGCGACGAUCAGUAGCCGACCUGAGAGGGUGACCGGCCACAUUGGGACUGAGACACGGCCCAG
Molecule: ribosomal RNA, 232 nt
Filed under: uncultured bacterium
Lineage: Bacteria
Description: partial 16S ribosomal RNA
Rfam family: Bacterial small subunit ribosomal RNA
Source: RNAcentral